This 96-nucleotide small nuclear RNA is filed under the name Zalophus californianus (California sea lion). Lineage: Eukaryota; Metazoa; Chordata; Mammalia; Carnivora; Otariidae. The record is from RNAcentral.
GUGCUCAACAUAUACUAAAAUUGGAACAACGCAGAGAAGAUUAGCCUGGCCCCGCACAAGGAUGACAUGCAAAUUCCUGAAGUGUUCCAUAUUUUU